Molecule: long non-coding RNA, 218 nt
Organism: Plectropomus leopardus (leopard coralgrouper)
Lineage: Eukaryota; Metazoa; Chordata; Actinopteri; Perciformes; Serranidae
Source: RefSeq, a predicted model, not a curated record
CACCUUUUGGUUUUGGACUUCUGGUCAGACAAAAGAUAUCAACUUGAAGACAUCACCCUGGAUUUCUGGAAACUGGAAACACCAUGACAGGACUGGAGUUGACUGGGAGGGCCAGCCUGUUGUUCAGAUGUGAGAGUUUACCCAGUUGAUGGUCUUGUCCCUCCUCUCUAAAAGCUUCUUCUGAAGAACCUCCCCGACGCCUCCAGGAGCCCCGAACU